CUACGGGUGGCUCCAGUGGGGAAUAUUGCACAAUGGGCGCAAGCCUGAUGCAGCAACGCCGCGUGAGGGACGAAGGCCUUCGGGUUGUAAACCUCUUUUAGCAGGGAAGAAGCGAAAGUGACGGUACCUGCAGAAAAAGCACCGGCUAACUACGUGCCAGCAGCCGCGGUAAUACGUAGGGUGCAAGCGUUGUCCGGAAUUAUUGGGCGUAAAGAGCUCGUAGGCGGUUUGUCACGUCUGCUGUGAAAUUUCGAGGCUCAACCUCGAACUUGCAGUGGGUACGGGCAGGCUAGAGUGCGGUAGGGGAGAUGGGAAUUCCUGGUGUAGCGGUGGAAUGCGCAGAUAUCAGGAGGAACACCAAUGGCGAAGGCACAUCUCUGGGCCGUAACUGACGCUGAGGAGCGAAAGCGUGGGGAGCGAACAGGAUUAGAUACCCCUGUAGUC
RNAcentral lists this ribosomal RNA (444 nucleotides) under uncultured bacterium. Its description in RNAcentral is "partial 16S ribosomal RNA". It matches the Rfam family "Bacterial small subunit ribosomal RNA", at positions 339 to 795 of the family's 1533-position model. The record is from RNAcentral.